GAUGAACGCUGGCGGCGUGCCUAAUACAUGCAAGUCGAGCGAACAGAUGAGAAGCUUGCUUCUCUGAUGUUAGCGGCGGACGGGUGAGUAACACGUGGGUAACCUACCUAUAAGACUGGGAUAACUCCGGGAAACCGGGGCUAAUACCUGAUAAUAUUUUGAACCGCGUGGUUCAAUAGUGAAAGGCGGCUUCGGCUGUCACUUAUAGAUGGACCCGCGCCGUAUUAGCUAGUUGGUAAGGUAAUGGCUUACCAAGGCGACGAUACGUAGCCGACCUGAGAGGGUGAUCGGCCACACUGGAACUGAGACACGGUCCAGACUCCUACGGGAGGCAGCAGUAGGGAAUCUUCCGCAAUGGGCGAAAGCCUGACGGAGCAACGCCGCGUGAGUGAUGAAGGUUUUCGGAUCGUAAAACUCUGUUGUUAGGGAAGAACAAAUUUGUUAGUAACUGAACAAGUCUUGACGGUACCUAACCAGAAAGCCACGGCUAACUACGUGCCAGCCGCCGCCGUAA
RNAcentral lists this ribosomal RNA (514 nucleotides) under uncultured bacterium. Its description in RNAcentral is "partial 16S ribosomal RNA". It matches the Rfam family "Bacterial small subunit ribosomal RNA", at positions 28 to 523 of the family's 1533-position model. The record is from RNAcentral.